GUGAAUAUAGUUUAACCAAAACACUAGCCUGUGAUUCUAGAAAAGAAAACUAACCACCUUCUAUUCACC
This 69-nucleotide transfer RNA is filed under the name Philoria frosti (Baw Baw frog). Its description in RNAcentral is "tRNA-His". It matches the Rfam family "tRNA". From Rfam's summary of the family: Transfer RNA (tRNA) molecules are approximately 80 nucleotides in length. Their secondary structure includes four short double-helical elements and three loops (D, anti-codon, and T loops). The record is from RNAcentral. Lineage: Eukaryota; Metazoa; Chordata; Amphibia; Anura; Limnodynastidae.